RNAcentral lists this ribosomal RNA (400 nucleotides) under uncultured Propionibacterium sp. Its description in RNAcentral is "bacterial SSU rRNA". It matches the Rfam family "Bacterial small subunit ribosomal RNA", at positions 958 to 1356 of the family's 1533-position model. The record is from RNAcentral. Lineage: Bacteria; Bacillati; Actinomycetota; Actinomycetes; Propionibacteriales; Propionibacteriaceae.
AACGCGAAGAACCUUACCUGGGUUUGACAUGGAUCGGGAGCGCUCAGAGAUGGGUGUGCCUCUUUUGGGGUCGGUUCACAGGUGGUGCAUGGCUGUCGUCAGCUCGUGUCGUGAGAUGUUGGGUUAAGUCCCGCAACGAGCGCAACCCUUGUUCACUGUUGCCAGCACGUUAUGGUGGGGACUCAGUGGAGACCGCCGGGGUCAACUCGGAGGAAGGUGGGGAUGACGUCAAGUCAUCACGCCCCUUAUGUCCAGGGCUUCACGCAUGCUACAAUGGCUGGUACAGAGAGAGGCGAGCCUGUGAGGGUGAGCGAAUCUCGGAAAGCCGGACUCAGUUCGGAUUGGGGUCUGCAACUCGACCUCAUGAAGUCGGAGUCGCUAGUAAUCGCAGAUCAGCACG